UACGAAGGGGGCUAGCGUUGUUCGGAAUUACUGGGCGUAAAGCGCGUGUAGGCGGGUCCUUAAGUCAGGGGGGAAAUGCCGAGGCUCAACCUCGGAACGGCCUUUGAUACUGGGGAUCUUGAGUCCGGGAGAGGUGAGUGGAACUGCGAGUGUAGAGGUGAAAUUCGUAGAUAUUCGCAAGAACACCAGUGGCGAAGGCGGCUCACUGGCCCGGAACUGACGCUGAGACGCGAAAGCGUGGGGAGCAAACAGG
This 253-nucleotide ribosomal RNA is filed under the name uncultured bacterium. Its description in RNAcentral is "partial 16S ribosomal RNA". It matches the Rfam family "Bacterial small subunit ribosomal RNA", at positions 524 to 776 of the family's 1533-position model. The record is from RNAcentral.